UCUAAUUGGCUAGAGCGACUGCCUUGCACGCAGUAGGUUGUGGGUUCGAAUCCCACAUUCUCC
Molecule: transfer RNA, 63 nt
Filed under: pig gut metagenome
Rfam family: tRNA (bases 4-59)
About the family: Transfer RNA (tRNA) molecules are approximately 80 nucleotides in length.
Source: RNAcentral